UCGUACAACGGGGGUGCAAAGGCUGUCGCUGACCUUUCAAAAGGUCGUGCACGCUCGAGCACUCCCAUACAUCCAUCUCACCUUUGUGCAUCACCGCGUGGGUCCCCUUUGCAAGGAGGGCUCACGUUUUCACACAAAAACUUGAUACAGUGUAGAAUGUUAUUUUUGCGGUCACACGCAAUCAAUA
RNAcentral lists this unclassified non-coding RNA (187 nucleotides) under uncultured Russula. RNAcentral describes it as "sequence contains ITS1". The record is from RNAcentral. Lineage: Eukaryota; Fungi; Basidiomycota; Agaricomycetes; Russulales; Russulaceae.